Molecule: ribosomal RNA, 253 nt
Filed under: uncultured bacterium
Lineage: Bacteria
Description: partial 16S ribosomal RNA
Rfam family: Bacterial small subunit ribosomal RNA
Source: RNAcentral
UACAGAGGGUGCAAGCGUUGUUCGGAAUUAUUGGGCGUAAAGGGCGCGUAGGCGGUGCGGUAAGUCACCUGUGAAAUCUCCUGGCUCAACUGGGAGCUUGCAGGCGAAACUGCCGUGCUGGAGUGUGGGAGAGGUGCGUGGAAUUCCUGGUGUAGCGGUGAAAUGCGUAGAUAUCAGGAGGAACACCUGUGGCGAAAGCGGCGCACUGGACCACAACUGACGCUGAGGCGCGAAAGCGUGGGGAGCAAACAGG